This 1427-nucleotide ribosomal RNA is filed under the name Scinax funereus (Moyobamba snouted treefrog). Its description in RNAcentral is "partial 16S large subunit ribosomal RNA". It matches the Rfam family "Bacterial large subunit ribosomal RNA", at positions 133 to 2597 of the family's 2925-position model. Lineage: Eukaryota; Metazoa; Chordata; Amphibia; Anura; Hylidae. The record is from RNAcentral.
GCUAAAAAUCUAGCUCUAUUAACACACAUGCAACGAUUCUCCCACAACAUCUUUAAACAAAACAUUUAACCAUUUCUAGUAAAGGAGAUUGAAAAAUUUAUUGAAGCAAUAAAACUAGUACCGCAAGGGAAAGAUGAAAUAUGAAUGAAAAUCAUUAAGCAAAAAAAAGCAGAGCUAUACCCUCGUACCUUUUGCAUCAUGGUUCAACUAGUCCAAUCAAGCAUAAAGCAUUAUAGUUUGACCCCCCGAAACUAGGCGAGCUACUUCAGGGCAGCUUUAUGAGCCAACCCGUCUCUGUUGCAAAAGAGUGGGAAGACCCUUAAGUAGUGGCGACAUACCUAACGAGCCUAGUGAUAGCUGGUUACUUGAGAAAAGAAUUUAAGUCCAACCUAAAAUUUUCCUCUUACAAUAAAAAUACUAUGAUUUUAGAGCAAUUCAAAUAAGGUACAGCCUAUUUGAAACAGGAUACAACCUCAUUCGACGGGUAAAACUCAUUAUUUAACUCCAAGUGGGCCUAAAAGCAGCCACCUUCUUAAAAGCGUCACAGCUUAAUCUAACUUAACCCCUAAUACCCUUAAUCUAUUUUAACCCUCAUUUAGUAUCAAGUAAUCCUAUACUUUUAUAGAAAAUAUUAUGUUGAAACUAGUAACAAGAAGAAAGACCUUCUCUUAAAUGCAAGUAUAAAUCAGAAAGGACAAACCACUGACAACUAACGUCUAUGAUCCCCAAUCAGCAACCUACAAGAAAAACCUAAUUUUCCCCGCGUUAACCUGACACAAGAGCAUUUCAAGAAAGAUUUAAAGAAGGAGAAGGAACUCGGCAAAUAUUAACCCCGCCUGUUUACCAAAAACAUCGCCUCUUGAGUAAAAAUAAGAGGUCCAGCCUGCCCAGUGACAAAUGUUUAACGGCCGCGGUAUCCUAACCGUGCGAAGGUAGCGUAAUCACUUGUUCUUUAAAUGAGGACUAGUAUGAAUGGCACCACGAGGGUUAUACUGUCUCCUCCCUCUAAUCAGUGAAACUAAUCUCCCCGUGAAGAAGCGGGGAUAUAACUAUAAGACGAGAAGACCCUAUGGAGCUUUAAACUUCUCUUCAAACGCCAGAUUACUUCAAUAGUCACUGACUUUAUUACACAUACCUCAGCGUUAUGAAGACGACUUUUAGGUUGGGGUGACCGCGGAGUACAAAAUAACCUCCACGAUGAACAGGCCUCCAAACCUUGAACAAAGGACCACAGCCCGAUGUACUAAAAAACUUACACCAUUGACCCAAUAUAUUUUGAUCAACGAACCAAGUUACCCUAGGGAUAACAGCGCAAUCUACUUCAAGAGUCCCUAUCGACAAGAAGGUUUACGACCUCGAUGUUGGAUCAGGGUAUCCCAGUGGUGCAGCCGCUACUAAAGGUUCGUUUGUUCAACGAUUAAAACCCU